UCCUGGCUCAGAUUGAACGCUGGCGGCAUGCCUUACACAUGCAAGUCGAACGGUAACAGGCCGCAAGGUGCUGACGAGUGGCGAACGGGUGAGUAAUACGAUCGGAACGUGCCCGAUCGUGGGGGAUAACGGAGCGAAAGCUUUGCUAAUACCGCAUACGAUCUACGGAUGAAAGCAGGGGACCGCAAGGCCUUGCGCGGACGGAGCGGCCGAUGGCAGAUUAGGUAGUUGGUGGGAUAAAAGCUUACCAAGCCGACGAUCUGUAGCUGGUCUGAGAGGACGACCAGCCACACUGGGACUGAGACACGGCCCAGACUCCUACGGGAGGCAGCAGUGGGGAAUUUUGGACAAUGGGCGAAAGCCUGAUCCAGCCAUGCCGCGUGCAGGAUGAAGGCCUUCGGGUUGUAAACUGCUUUUGUACGGAACGAAAAGACUCUGGUUAAUACCUGGGGUCCAUGACGGUACCGUAAGAAUAAGCACCGGCUAACUACGUG
RNAcentral lists this ribosomal RNA (494 nucleotides) under uncultured bacterium. Its description in RNAcentral is "bacterial SSU rRNA". It matches the Rfam family "Bacterial small subunit ribosomal RNA", at positions 17 to 507 of the family's 1533-position model. The record is from RNAcentral.